This 607-nucleotide ribosomal RNA is filed under the name Bacillus subtilis. Its description in RNAcentral is "bacterial SSU rRNA". It matches the Rfam family "Bacterial small subunit ribosomal RNA", at positions 571 to 1174 of the family's 1533-position model. Lineage: Bacteria; Bacillati; Bacillota; Bacilli; Caryophanales; Bacillaceae. The record is from RNAcentral.
GCAGGCGGUUUUUUAAGUUCUGAAUGUGAAAGCCCCCGGCUUAACCGGGGAGGGUCAUUGGAAACUGGGGAACUUUGAGUGCAGAAGAGGAGAGUGGAAUUUCCACGUGUAGCGGUGAAAUGCGUAGAGAUGUGGAGGAACACCAGUGGCGAAGGCGACUCUCUGGUCUGUAACUGACGCUGAGGAGCGAAAGCGUGGGGAGCGAACAGGAUUAGAUACCCUGGUAGUCCACGCCGUAAACGAUGAGUGCUAAGUGUUAGGGGGUUUCCGCCCCUUAGUGCUGCAGCUAACGCAUUAAGCACUCCGCCUGGGGAGUACGGUCGCAAGACUGAAACUCAAAGGAAUUGACGGGGGCCCGCACAAGCGGUGGAGCAUGUGGUUUAAUUCGAAGCAACGCGAAGAACCUUACCAGGUCUUGACAUCCUCUGACAAUCCUAGAGAUAGGACGUCCCCUUCGGGGGCAGAGUGACAGGUGGUGCAUGGUUGUCGUCAGCUCGUGUCGUGAGAUGUUGGGUUAAGUCCCGCAACGAGCGCAACCCUUGAUCUUAGUUGCCAGCAUUCAGUUGGGCACUCUAAGGUGACUGCCGGUGACAAACCGGAGGAAGGU